RNAcentral lists this long non-coding RNA (1136 nucleotides) under Homo sapiens (human). RNAcentral describes it as "HSALNT0290838". The record is from RNAcentral. Lineage: Eukaryota; Metazoa; Chordata; Mammalia; Primates; Hominidae.
GAAAAAAGAAUCCUCCCACCUCAUGCCUUUUUUUUUUUCUGAUGCCAGGAAUUAGUAUUCAUUGCCUCUUUAAGAGGCCAAUGCAAAAAAAGGUAGAAAAAGCCCUAGCCCAGGAGUUGGGAUUGCCAGUUGUAGUCCCUGGGUUGCCUUGCUGGGGGUGCCUAAGUCAGUGCCAUAACCUCAGUUUUUCUAAUCUGUGUAACAUGGGGAUAGAGUAUAUGAUUUCCAAGGUCACUUUCACCUCUGUGAUUGAGCCUCUAAGAAAGCCAAAUCUUUUCACUUUGUAAUCAUGACAUUUUUAAAAGAUGGAGUUAAUAUGAAUGGGAAACUUUUUUUUUUUUGAGCCAGGGACUUGCUAUGUUGCCCAGGCUGGUCUUGAACUCCUGAACUCAAGUGAUCCUCUCACCUCAGCCUCUCAAAUAGCUGAGACUACAGGCACACACCACUGCACCUGGCUAAAGACUAUAUUCUUAAAGAAUAAAAGUACUGCACUUCACCUCUAUCUCCUGGUAUCUCUUCAAUUCAAACACACCAUUAAUGACUACAAUAUUUUAUUUAAGUAAUAACUCAAUUUCAAAAAAAUUGCAGAAAAGCCUAUUAAAAGAAAAAAAAAACCAUGAGACUUAUCUCUUGUAAAUUUGUUACAUGAACUAGAUAUUAAACAGCCAAAAAAGGACAGCGAUGAUAGUAUCUGUUAAGAUCCUGGUUCAUUUCACAAUAUGAAAAAGUUGAUGGGUACUUAGUAGCUUUUUUAAAAAAAUUCAUUUUAUUAUAUUAUACUAGAAAAAUGAAAAUAUUAAUACUUUCCAUUCAGAAAAGCUUAAAUGACUCGUCUCUAAUUUUGGUUUAAAGUUUUCUUCAAUUUAUUCAAGGCUCUCAAAAAAAAAAUAGAAAAGCACUGUAAUUUGCACUGCUUGACUGUAAAAUGUUUUAUGUGUUAGGAAUAGAAUAUUCUUUAAUGGGCAGGCAGAGAAUGAAAGCCAAGCCAAAUAACAAAAUCUCAUGGGUUUUGAUCACUUAGAAAAUUACAGUGAAUCAAUAUUACCUAAAAGGAAAUUCAAAAAAUUCCCAAUUGUUGAUAAUACAUGUCUCCUGGCAUACAGGGUCCAUCUUGCAGUAAAAAAUGGGCACAAUGC